RNAcentral lists this ribosomal RNA (2665 nucleotides) under Acinetobacter baumannii. RNAcentral describes it as "partial 23S ribosomal RNA". It matches the Rfam family "Bacterial large subunit ribosomal RNA". Lineage: Bacteria; Pseudomonadati; Pseudomonadota; Gammaproteobacteria; Moraxellales; Moraxellaceae. The record is from RNAcentral.
UGAGAUUCCCUCAGUAGCGGCGAGCGAACGGGGAUCAGCCCAUUAAGUUAUGUGUGUUUUAGUGGAACGCUCUGGGAAGUGCGAACGUAGAGGGUGAUAUUCCCGUACACGAAAGGGCACACAUAAUGAUGACGAGUAGGGCGAGGCACGUGAAACCUUGUCUGAAUAUGGGGGGACCAUCCUCCAAGGCUAAAUACUCCUGACUGACCGAUAGUGAACCAGUACCGUGAGGGAAAGGCGAAAAGAACCCCUGUGAGGGGAGUGAAAUAGAUCCUGAAACCGCAUGCAUACAAGCAGUGGGAGCACCUUCGUGGUGUGACUGCGUACCUUUUGUAUAAUGGGUCAGCGACUUAUAUUCAGUAGCGAGGUUAACCGUAUAGGGGAGCCGUAGAGAAAUCGAGUCUUAAUAGGGCGUUUAGUUGCUGGGUAUAGACCCGAAACCAGGCGAUCUAUCCAUGAGCAGGUUGAAGGUUGGGUAACACUAACUGGAGGACCGAACCCACUGUCGUUGAAAAGCCAGGGGAUGACUUGUGGAUAGGGGUGAAAGGCUAAUCAAGCCUGGUGAUAGCUGGUUCUCCCCGAAAGCUAUUUAGGUAGCGCCUCGGACGAAUACCAUAGGGGGUAGAGCACUGUUUCGGCUAGGGGGUCAUCCCGACUUACCAAACCGAUGCAAACUCCGAAUACCUAUGAGUACUAUCCGGGAGACAGACUGCGGGUGCUAACGUCCGUAGUCAAGAGGAAAACAAUCCAGACCGCCAGCUAAGGCCCCAAAAUCAUAGUUAAGUGGGAAACGAUGUGGGAAGGCAUAGACAGCUAGGAGGUUGGCUUAGAAGCAGCCACCCUUUAAAGAAAGCGUAAUAGCUCACUAGUCGAGUCGGCCUGCGCGGAAGAUGUAACGGGGCUAAAACUAUGUGCCGAAGCUGCGGAUGUAUACUUUGUAUACGUGGUAGGGGAGCGUUCUGUAAGCCGAUGAAGGUGUGUUGAGAAGCAUGCUGGAGGUAUCAGAAGUGCGAAUGCUGACGUGAGUAACGACAAAACGGGUGAAAAACCCGUUCGCCGAAAGACCAAGGGUUCCAGUCCAACGUUAAUCGGGGCUGGGUGAGUCGACCCCUAAGGCGAGGCCGAAAGGCGUAGUCGAUGGGAAAAUGGUUAAUAUUCCAUUACUUCUGUGUAAUGCGAUGAGAGGACGGAGAAGGCUAAAUCAGCCUGGCGUUGGUUGUCCAGGUGAAAGGAUGUAGGCAUGUAUCUUAGGCAAAUCCGGGGUACUCUAUGCUGAGAUCUGAUAGCAAGCUGUACUUGUACAGCGAAGUGGUUGAUGCCAUGCUUCCAGGAAAAGUCUCUAAGCUUCAGUUACACAGGAAUCGUACCCGAAACCGACACAGGUGGUCAGGUCGAGUAGACCAAGGCGCUUGAGAGAACUCUGCUGAAGGAACUAGGCAAAAUGGUACCGUAACUUCGGGAGAAGGUACGCUGUUGUUGGUGAUGGAACUCGCUUCCUGAGCUGACGACAGCCGCAGAAACCAGGCCGCUGCAACUGUUUAUUAAAAACAUAGCACUCUGCAAACACGAAAGUGGACGUAUAGGGUGUGAUGCCUGCCCGGUGCUGGAAGGUUAAUUGAUGGGGUUAGCGUAAGCGAAGCUCUUGAUCGAAGCCCCAGUAAACGGCGGCCGUAACUAUAACGGUCCUAAGGUAGCGAAAUUCCUUGUCGGGUAAGUUCCGACCUGCACGAAUGGCAUAAUGAUGGCGGCGCUGUCUCCAGCAGAGGCUCAGUGAAAUCGAAAUCGCUGUGAAGAUGCAGUGUACCCGCGGCUAGACGGAAAGACCCCGUGAACCUUUACUGCAGCUUGACACUGAACUUUGACCUUACUUGUGUAGGAUAGGUGGGAGGCUUUGAAGCUGGAACGCUAGUUCCAGUGGAGCCGUCCUUGAAAUACCACCCUGGUAAUGUUGAGGUUCUAACUCUGUCCCGUGAUCCGGGACGAGGACCGUGUCUGGUGGGUAGUUUGACUGGGGCGGUCUCCUCCUAAAGAGUAACGGAGGAGUACGAAGGUGCGCUCAGCGUGGUCGGAAAUCACGCGUAGAGUAUAAAGGCAAAAGCGCGCUUAACUGCGAGACCCACAAGUCGAGCAGGUACGAAAGUAGGUCUUAGUGAUCCGGUGGUUCUGUAUGGAAGGGCCAUCGCUCAACGGAUAAAAGGUACUCUGGGGAUAACAGGCUGAUACCGCCCAAGAGUUCAUAUCGACGGCGGUGUUUGGCACCUCGAUGUCGGCUCAUCUCAUCCUGGGGCUGAAGCAGGUCCCAAGGGUAUGGCUGUUCGCCAUUUAAAGAGGUACGCGAGCUGGGUUUAGAACGUCGUGAGACAGUUCGGUCCCUAUCUACCGUGGGCGCUGGAAAUUUGAGAGGAUCUGCUCCUAGUACGAGAGGACCAGAGUGGACGAACCUCUGGUGUACCGGUUGUGACGCCAGUCGCAUCGCCGGGUAGCUAUGUUCGGAAGGGAUAACCGCUGAAAGCAUCUAAGCGGGAAGCCUACCUCAAGAUAAGAUUUCCCUAGGACUUUAUGUCCUCUAAAGAGCCGUUCGAGACUAGGACGUUGAUAGGUUGGAUGUGGAAGCAUAGUGAUAUGUGAAGCUGACCAAUACUAAUUGCUCGUGAGGCUUGACUAU